Molecule: long non-coding RNA, 775 nt
Organism: Pygocentrus nattereri (red-bellied piranha)
Lineage: Eukaryota; Metazoa; Chordata; Actinopteri; Characiformes; Serrasalmidae
Exons: 2
Source: RefSeq, a predicted model, not a curated record
UUCAAUUUUGUCCACUGUAGUGGACAUUAUGUUUUUUCUCAUAUCUUCCAUACUAUACUUUUCACUCUACUUAGUCCUGUUGUUCCUUAAAGAGGACCACUGUGGCUUUAAAAUGACAUCACAUUUCAGGGGUGUGACUUUGCCAGGUUCUUGUUGCUGUCUUUUCAAAAUGGCUGCCAUCACAACAAGCAGAUUUUAUGGAAAAAAGAAAGGUUCAUGCCCAUGUUGGAGGAAUGUGGAAUUACAUCAGCUGAUGAUUCCCUAUACCGAAGAGACUGGAGCCCACUGCAGUAUUUCCAGCAGUACAUUGAUGAUCAGUUAAUUCGGGAUCUGUCUUUCUUCACCAACCAGCACAUGGUACAGGAUUCAGGCUGUAGCUUGAACACAACACCAGAAGAGAUCAAGACCUUUUUAGGAAUCUCCGUGUACAUGGCAUGCCUCGGAUAUCCAAGAAUGAAAAUGUACUGGGCACUUCAUUGAUUUGGCCAUCACCAACUCCUGGAUUCAAUACAGACAAGACAGUCAGACCUUGCAACGACCUGCAAAGAAAACCUCCCAGUACCUGGAGUUCAAACUUCUCUUGGCUGAAGAACUGAUAUCCCAGGCCCAAGUAGGUCAACGAGAUGACACUGACUCAAGUGAUCAAGAAUUCUUUCUGGAAAUCAAGAAAAGGAAGCCCCAUCCAGAUACAAGAAUAAGGAAAUAUGGUGCAAUUCAUUUGCCCCAAAUGCUCAACAUUCCAAAUGCUUCCAGAUGCAGAAUGCCUGGAUGCAAA